AUGUACGCGAUGCGGCGCGAGUGGCAGGAGAGGAGGUGGCACGUGCUGCUCGCCAGCAGGCAGAACAUAGCCCCACCUAGGAAUGCGAAGAACGGCCACCGUGCGAUCGGCCGCACAAGCAAUGGUGCGAUCAUGUUGGCCACAUCCUCUUUCACACUCCGCUGCACACAGUUAAAUUAUCAUAUUCAAAGCCCCGAAACAAGGGAACACACAUAUUAUCUUAUUACAUAUUUACCCCUGCAAAAUCUAAUAAAACAUAACACACAAAGUGCAUUUCUUAGAAGAAUGCGCUUAUCUUGAAGAUAACUUGAAACAACAAAAAGAAAAGAAUAGAUAAGUUGAGUCACAGAAUUCAACUGGGGAAAGUCGGUCGGUUUUAUAUUACAAAAAAUGUUUUGCAAACAGGAGGAACAUGCUAAAAUACAAAGGUAUAUAUGAAACAAAUUAAGUUUUCGAGAAGUUCAGAAUUGGCAGAGAUAUAAAUAUGAACGCAGAUAAUGUUGCAGGGUUAUACAAGUAACUGCAGUUAAAUAACUCUGAAUAAAGAUAAGAAAAGUGAUGAAAAAGUGUUUAUUUACCAGAACACAUACAUUUGUCUGAUUUAAAUGGGUGAAUCUCUGGGGCAAACAGCUUGACAGGAGCUCUAGAAGAUGCCAGCGCGAUGAUAUGGAGGGGAGCAUAUCGAUAGAGGAGAGGGAGGUCUUCAACUCAUCUUUCAAUUUGUGUAGAUCAGAGAGGUGAGGCAACGAAGGGAGACAGGCCA
Molecule: long non-coding RNA, 763 nt
Filed under: Ananas comosus (pineapple)
Lineage: Eukaryota; Viridiplantae; Streptophyta; Magnoliopsida; Poales; Bromeliaceae
Description: long non-coding RNA (ACOM_LNC023796)
Source: RNAcentral